GCAGUCGAACGAUGAUGCCCAGCUUGCUGGGCGGAUUAGUGGCGAACGGGUGAGUAAUACGUGAGUAACCUGCCCUUGACUCUGGGAUAAGCCUGGGAAACUGGGUCUAAUACUGGAUACUACCUCUUACCGCAUGGUGGGUGGUGGAAAGGGUUUUACUGGUUUUGGAUGGGCUCACGGCCUAUCAGCUUGUUGGUGGGGUAAUGGCUCACCAAGGCGACGACGGGUAGCCGGCCUGAGAGGGUGACCGGCCACACUGGGACUGAGACACGGCCCAGACUCCUACGGGAGGCAGCAGUGGGGAAUAUUGCACAAUGGGCGGAAGCCUGAUGCAGCGACGCCGCGUGAGGGAUGACGGCCUUCGGGUUGUAAACCUCUUUCAGUAGGGAAGAAGCGAGAGUGACGGUACCUGCAGAAGAAGCGCCGGCUAACUACGUGCCAGCAGCCGCGGUAAUACGUAGGGCGCAAGCGUUGUCCGGAAUUAUUGGGCGUAAAGAGCUCGUAGGCGGUUUGUCGCGUCUGCUGUGAAAGCCCGGGGCUCAACCCCGGGUCUGCAGUGGGUACGGGCAGACUAGAGUGCAGUAGGGGAGACUGGAAUUCCUGGUGUAGCGGUGAAAUGCGCAGAUAUCAGGAGGAACACCGAUGGCGAAGGCAGGUCUCUGGGCUGUUACUGACGCUGAGGAGCGAAAGCAUGGGGAGCGAACAGGAUUAGAUACCCUGGUAGUCCAUGCCGUAAACGUUGGGCACUAGGUGUGGGGGACAUUCCACGUUUUCCGCGCCGUAGCUAACGCAUUAAGUGCCCCGCCUGGGGAGUACGGCCGCAAGGCUAAAACUCAAAGGAAUUGACGGGGGCCCGCACAAGCGGCGGAGCAUGCGGAUUAAUUCGAUGCAACGCGAAGAACCUUACCAAGGCUUGACAUUCACCGGACCGCCCCAGAGAUGGGGUUUCCCUUCGGGGCUGGUGGACAGGUGGUGCAUGGUUGUCGUCAGCUCGUGUCGUGAGAUGUUGGGUUAAGUCCCGCAACGAGCGCAACCCUCGUUCUAUGUUGCCAGCACGUGAUGGUGGGGACUCAUAGGAGACUGCCGGGGUCAACUCGGAGGAAGGUGGGGAUGACGUCAAAUCAUCAUGCCCCUUAUGUCUUGGGCUUCACGCAUGCUACAAUGGCCGGUACAAAGGGUUGCGAUACUGUGAGGUGGAGCUAAUCCCAAAAAGCCGGUCUCAGUUCGGAUUGAGGUCUGCAACUCGACCUCAUGAAGUCGGAGUCGCUAGUAAUCGCAGAUCAGCAACGCUGCGGUGAAUACGUUCCCGGGCCUUGUACACACCGCCCGUCAAGUCACGAAAGUUGGUAACACCCGAAGCCGGUGGCCUAACCCCUUGUGGGAGGGAGC
This 1389-nucleotide ribosomal RNA is filed under the name bacterium. RNAcentral describes it as "bacterial SSU rRNA". It matches the Rfam family "Bacterial small subunit ribosomal RNA". The record is from RNAcentral.